RNAcentral lists this ribosomal RNA (257 nucleotides) under uncultured prokaryote. RNAcentral describes it as "partial 16S ribosomal RNA". It matches the Rfam family "Bacterial small subunit ribosomal RNA", at positions 524 to 780 of the family's 1533-position model. The record is from RNAcentral.
UACGGAGGAUCCGAGCGUUAUCCGGAUUUAUUGGGUUUAAAGGGUGCGCAGGCGGGAGAUUAAGUCGGCGGUGAAAUUUUGCAGCUUAACUGUAACAGUGCCGUUGAUACUGGGGAGCUAGGAUUUGGUUGCUGUGGGUGGAAUGUGUGGUGUAGCGGUGAAAUGCUUAGAGAUCACACAGAAUAUCGAUUGCGAAGGCAGCUCACAAAGCCAAGAUUGACGCUGAGGCACGAAAGCGUGGGGAGCAAACAGAAUUA